ACUGCAAGGCUGAGGUGAACCUCUGGCCUUCCAGUUGAGGUACAGGGGUCCUUUGCUGGCCCCAGAUGUGGACAGUAUCCUCUCGAAUGCCCACCACUGGGAACCCUUAAGUCCCUCAAGUUGGGGAGACUUUUAGACAAAGAAGCCACAUUAUACAGAACAGCCAUUGUCCCUUGAUGCAGUGUGGGGCUUCCUUUCUGACCCAGUGUAGAAGGAGAGUCAAAGCAAGCACGGAAAUCUUUCCUCAGCCUCGGCCAGUCCUAUCUCAGCAGUAGUGGCCGGUGUUAAGUAUGGUGCCUAGAAAAUUACAGACUAUUCCAGACCAGGAAGGAAAGUUGACUUCAUCUUCAGAUACUCAGGCUCCAGCCUGGAGACAUCUCAUCUCUCCUCUGUCACUCCUUCCCCAUUAUUAAAGUUUGUGGAUGUUCCUUAGAGUCUCCCAGACCUGUCUUGGCUUUAAGGCUGUUACGAAGAAUGCAGAUGAACAGCAUUCGUGGAAAAGAUGCACGGAGCGAGGCCUGUGGGGAGGGGAGCAGAGCUUCCAUGCCCUCCCUGCAUGCACCACCCUCCAGGAACCUCCACAUGUUCAGCUGUCUGGAAGCUCUUCCGAACCCUGUCCAUUUGAACUGUUAUGGAGGCUUCAUUACAUAGUGAUUCGGAGUGUGUCAAGGACCUGGUUAAUCAUGGAAUGAGGUUCCCUAAAGACAAAACACGUCAGGCCAGGCAUAAUGGCUCACACCUAUAAUCUCAGCACUUUGGGAGGCCA
This 766-nucleotide long non-coding RNA is filed under the name Homo sapiens (human). RNAcentral's name for it is "HSALNT0382440". Lineage: Eukaryota; Metazoa; Chordata; Mammalia; Primates; Hominidae. The record is from RNAcentral.